This 485-nucleotide ribosomal RNA is filed under the name uncultured bacterium. RNAcentral's name for it is "partial 16S ribosomal RNA". It matches the Rfam family "Bacterial small subunit ribosomal RNA", at positions 30 to 508 of the family's 1533-position model. The record is from RNAcentral.
AUUGAACGCUGGCGGCAGGCCUAACACAUGCAAGUCCAGCGGAUGAAGGGAGCUUGCUCCUGGAUUCAGCGGCGGACGGGUGAGUAAUGCCUAGGAAUCUGCCUGGUAGUGGGGGAUAACGUCCGGAAACGGGCGCUAAUACCGCAUACGUCCUGAGGGAGAAAGUGGGGGAUCUUCGGACCUCACGCUAUCAGAUGAGCCUAGGUCGGAUUAGCUAGUUGGUGGGGUAAAGGCCUACCAAGGCGACGAUCCGUAACUGGUCUGAGAGGAUGAUCAGUCACACUGGAACUGAGACACGGUCCAGACUCCUACGGGAGGCAGCAGUGGGGAAUAUUGGACAAUGGGCGAAAGCCUGAUCCAGCCAUGCCGCGUGUGUGAAGAAGGUCCUCGGAUUGUAAAGCACUUUAAGUUGGGAGGAAGGGCAGUAAGUUAAUACCUUGCUGUUUUGACGUUACCAACAGAAUAAGCACCGGCUAACUUCGUGC